Pogona vitticeps (central bearded dragon) is the source of this 164-nucleotide small nuclear RNA. Its record names the gene U1. It matches the Rfam family "U1 spliceosomal RNA". From Rfam's summary of the family: U1 is a small nuclear RNA (snRNA) component of the spliceosome (involved in pre-mRNA splicing). Its 5' end forms complementary base pairs with the 5' splice junction, thus defining the 5' donor site of an intron. There are significant differences in sequence and secondary structure between metazoan and yeast U1 snRNAs, the latter being much longer (568 nucleotides as compared to 164 nucleotides in human). The record is from Ensembl. NCBI's taxonomy places the organism in Eukaryota, Metazoa, Chordata, Lepidosauria, Squamata, Agamidae.
ACUCAUACCUGGCAGUGGAGAUACCAUGAUCAUGAAAGUGGUUUUCCUAGGAUGAGGCUCAUCCAUUGCACUUUGGGUGUGCUGAUCCCUGUGAUUUCCCCAAAUGUGGGAAAAUCAACUGCAUAAUUUGUGGUAGUGGGGGACUGCAUUUGUGGUUUCCCCUG